This 497-nucleotide ribosomal RNA is filed under the name uncultured bacterium. RNAcentral describes it as "partial 16S ribosomal RNA". It matches the Rfam family "Bacterial small subunit ribosomal RNA", at positions 28 to 507 of the family's 1533-position model. The record is from RNAcentral.
GAUGAACGCUGGCGGCGUGCCUAAUACAUGCAAGUCGAGCGAACAGACGAGGAGCUUGCUCCUCUGACGUUAGCGGCGGACGGGUGAGUAACACGUGGAUAACCUACCUAUAAGACUGGGAUAACUUCGGGAAGCCGGAGCUAAUACCGGAUAAUAUAUUGAACCGCAUGGCUCAAUAGUGAAAGACGGUUUUGCUGUCACUUAUAGAUGGAUCCGCGCCGCAUUAGCUAGUUGGUAAGGUAACGGCUUACCAAGGCGACGAUGCGUAGCCGACCUGAGAGGGUGAUCGGCCACACUGGAACUGAGACACGGUCCAGACUCCUACGGGAGGCAGCAGUAGGGAAUCUUCCGCAAAGGGCGAAAGCCUGACGGAGCAACGCCGCGUGAGUGAUGAAGGUCUUCGGAUCGUAAAACUCUGUUAUUAGGGAAGAACAAAUGUGUAAGUAACUAUGCACGUCUUGACGGUACCUAAUCAGAAAGCCACGGCUAACUACGUG